CUGGUAUUAUGUCACCCCUAGACUUUUUUCUCUAGAUACGAUAGCAGUGUUCCGAUACUUGAGGGGCUUCUAGAAAGACGUGUAUGUCACACUAUUUUCCAAAGCACCAAAAGGCAAGACAGGAAACAAGGGUUGGAAACUAACCAAGGAGGAAUGCCCUAACAGUGAGAACAGUUGACAAGUGGAAUGGCUUGCUUCAGAAGUUGUGGAUGCUCCAUCACUGGAGGUUUCCCAAAAUAGAUUGUCUGAAACAGGACAGGACAGAGAUCCCCAAUAUUUCCAGCUUUGGGAACCUGUGGGGGGAGGGGAUGUAUCGUGCAAGUGGCUGGCAAAUGCGGAUGGGCACAAAGCUCCAUUUCCAUGAGCAGCAAACAUGUGUUCCUGCCACUCUAGCAAAUGGAGCAUGUGUACAUGUGCUCGCCCGCUGCUUCUGCAAGUGAGGAUGUGCGCGGUUUUGUGCUUGCUUAGCAUUUCCAUGGCCCAGUUGUAAACCCCUCAUGGUCCAGUAGUGGGCUUCAGCCCACAGGUUGGAGACCCCUGGUAUAGGGUCUCCUGCUCAGGCAAGGGGUUGGGGUAGAAGACCCCCAAUGUCCCCUUCCAACUCUGUUAUUCUAUGUUCAAAAUUGUUUUAUUAUUUUCUUAUGGCCCAAAAUUGUGGUUUGGCCUAGAUUUGUUUUUGUUGCAGUCCAUUUACCUCAUCUCUGUUCUUUCCACCAUGUGAGCUGUAUGGUUAUCGCAGUCUCUCUAAGAAAAGUACUGAAUGCAAAGCUCAUUCAAUCCUUCUCCGUUCCACUUUUCUCCUGGCCUCUGGCUACGUCUGCUUCUGAUCCUCCCGAACAGCCUCUCCCCCACCUGAAUUUUGGUGUUUCAAGCUGACGGAAUAUCUAACAUGAUUUGGGACAGAAUUCUAUGGAAGGACUUUGUGCUUUAAUAGCCAGACGUGGUGUCCCUCCAAGCUCAACCAAGCUUAAAAGAGAACCUCAUGCUAUAGGUUCAAGGCAAAGCUUUUCCAGUUGUGUGUGAGCAUCUCACACAUUGUUGCAAUGUUGAACUUCUCUGGCAUCUUAGAAUUCAUCCAGUUCCUUUCUGUCUGCUUCCCUCCAGCACAAGACUUCAACACUCCGAUGUGUAGCUCAGGGUUGAACUAUCAGGUUCUCUCUGAUCGUGGCUGUUCUCCUACAGACCGUUUUUUUAGCAGUCGACAUAAAAUUAUCUGAGCGUGGGAUGGAAGGAAAACCUCACUCUCUCGUGCAUGGACUAUGUUACCUGGCCUGAUCAGGAAACCUCUGCAGAGACACCUCAAGCAUGGAAAGAACAUCCAGAAUGCAGCCAUUUAAGCAGGGUGUUUUCUUGCCUGCUAUCUACUGAACAUCUUGGCCAUAAACCUCAGCUUAUCAAACCAAGUGAAGAAAGCUUACAGUCCCCAAACAUACUUAGACAGCAUGUUUGGGAUUGAACCUAAAAACAUAAAUCAUUCAAGCAUCAUCAGAAAUCAGCUCGGUUCAUUUCUCCUCUUGCAGGGAGUAAAUAUGAUAUUUUGGCUUGGUUUAAUUUUGUGCCCUGCACAGGUUGUGCUACCGUCUAUAAAUUCAGGAAGAGAUAGCCAUUGUCCAGAAGCCCAACUUUUGAACAUGGAAUGGUAGCUGCUUCCUUUAAGACAGGGUUGGUUGGUUCUGCAUCUGGAGUGAAUCCAGUUUCCCUGUUGGUAGUGGGGAAAAUGAGGUCACACCCCCUACCCCUCCCUUCUUCUCCAAGUCUCCCCGCUCUUGAACCUGGAUCUCCAGCCCCCCAAAAGGUUCUCCCAUCCUGACUGCACUUUGAAGGCUGCAGAAGAGAUUGCAAGAUGAAAGCUUUGCUAUUUGCAUUGUUGUUGGUGGCAUUCAUGUGCAAGGACCCAGUUGCGGGUCUGCAGUGUCUUCGAUGUUAUGGUGCUUGCAAAGAGGAAAUAUGUUUGGAAGACCAACCCGUCUGUUAUACUCUGGACAACGGAGUGGGACAGGCUGUUCGCAGAAGAUGUGCCCCCACAUGCCCUCAAGGGGACAAUGGGCUGGAGGCUAAAUGUUGCACAACUAACUUUUGCAAUGAAUGAAACAUCCUUCUGAUUUUAAAAUGAGCUUUGUUGAGUUUUGCUGUCAUCCAUCAUGGACCAUCCUUUGCAGAUUUAGGUUUGUGGCCUUUACGGUCCAUAAUUCAACCCCUCAGCUUCUCUGGACACCUCGCCCUCUCUCCCUUUUCUCCGGGCCUACAUGCUUUGUUCUGCUCUUUCUCUAGUUUGGCAACGGAAUAAAUUUCUGCAUUUAAAUCCAAGCGUACUGGGUGUGUUUGCUAUGAUGUGUCCAUUUUCCUUUUGGGAAAGUUAAAUUGUGGAAUAGUAGAAGGCUGAAAGUUUCUUAUAUAUAUAUAUAUAUAAUCCAUUUACUGAUAAAUUUUUAAUUAGUAUUUUCCUUAACUGGGAAAGAGUGAUGAGCAUGCGGGCUUUUCUGUGACAAAUGAUAGGAAAACACAUUGAAAAUGAGCGUCAUUCCAUGCCCAUCCUUAAAGAGAUCCAGGAGAUUAAAACAGAAGGGGAAUCCCUCCAUCAGGAGCUCUGCUAAAUACGGCCUGGAGAGACCCUUGACCCAUCACCAUGGCCAAAGCAGAGGGAACGAUUGAAAUGAAAACAGAGAUUUCUAAGCUGGCACCUUUCCAGCUGGUUCACCCUCUCAGGUCAGGCAGUUUAUGUGCGCCACGGGCAAAACCCCUGAGUCCUCUUCCUUCUCCAAUGGGUGCAGGUCUGCCUUAGACGCCCAUCACAGAUGGGACAUAAGUGCAUAAGUUUUCUUUAGAAGCAGCGUGGUUUGCAGGAAGACCUGGAACUUGCUCCAAUCCUUUCCUAUCCUUGACUGGGCUCAGCGUAAUCCCUGAUCCAUGUAUUCCAGUUCCAUAUUUGGUCACUUACUAAACUUCUAAUGUUGUGGAAUGCUGUACAGUAACUGGGGGGAGAGAGUCCCACCAUAGCUUAGUCCAUCUCCCUGAUGGACUUCAAAGGUUACAACCAACACCUGGAACUGGACCAGGAAUCAAGCAGGCAACCAACGCAGCUGGUGGAGCAGUGGUGUAAUAUGCACUGCCCUAAAAACAGACAUAUCUGUUCAUCCCAUGGCUUUCUCUACCCACUGACAAUUAUCCAGGUGUCCCGGCAUCCAAUCUAUGUGCCGAAGGGUGAGCCUCUGCCUUUCCAUUGGACUUGACACUACAGGGUGGAGCAGGAAGUGGCCUCCGAUGCUGGGGAGGCAAUGUGCUUCUCCCACCAAUCAACCAACUAUCAAGUUCUCUCUAAUCAUCGCUGCUUUCCUGCAGACCCUUAGCAGGUGACAUAAAAUUAUUUGAGGGUGGAAUGGAAGGAAAAUCUCACUCUCUCAUGCAUGGAGAGUGUUUCCUGAUCUGCAGGGACAUGGCAAGCAUCAAAAGAACAGCCAGAACAGAACCAUUUAAACAGGGUGUUCUUUUGCCGGCUAUCUACUGAAAUUUUGGCCAUAAACCUUAGCUUGUGAAACCGAUUUCCCUUUGUGUAGUGGGGAACGUGAGAUCACCCCUACCCCUCCCUUCUUUCCCAAGUCCCCCCUCUCUUCCCUCUUGAACCUGGAGCUCCAGCCCCCACAAGGUGGGGCAGUGGCACAUAUACAGAACUUCCUUCUCCCAUCCUGGACUGCACUUUGAAGGCUGCAGAAGAGAUUGCAAGAUGAAAGCUUUGCUAUUUGCGUUGGUGGUGGUGGCAUUUUUGUGCAAGGACCCAGUCCUUGUGGAAAGGGAGUCCGGUGUAACUCACCAGAUAUGUUCUGUUUUGCUCUGAACGAACGAAAUGAAGAUUUACUGCGCAGAGGAUGUACUCCCAUAUGCUAUGAAGGGAACGACAUCCUGGAGUUUAAAUGCUGCAACACUGACUAUUGCAAUGUUUAAAAUAUCCUUCUGAGUUUUGCUGUCAUCCAUCAUGGACCAUCCUUUGUAGAUUUAGGCUUGUGGCCUUUACGGUCCAUAAUUCAACCCUUCAGCUUCUUUGGACACCUCGCCUUCUCUCCUUUUUCUCCUGGUCUACAAGAUUUGUUCUGCUCUUUUUGUAGUUUGGCAACAGAAUAAAUGUCUGCUUUUAAAUUCAA
Molecule: long non-coding RNA, 4136 nt
Organism: Crotalus tigris (Tiger rattlesnake)
Lineage: Eukaryota; Metazoa; Chordata; Lepidosauria; Squamata; Viperidae
Exons: 5
Source: RefSeq, a predicted model, not a curated record